RNAcentral lists this ribosomal RNA (492 nucleotides) under uncultured bacterium. RNAcentral's name for it is "partial 16S ribosomal RNA". It matches the Rfam family "Bacterial small subunit ribosomal RNA", at positions 29 to 507 of the family's 1533-position model. The record is from RNAcentral.
AGUGAACGCUGGCGGUAGGCCUAACACAUGCAAGUCGAACGGCAGCACAGUAAGAGCUUGCUCUUACGGGUGGCGAGUGGCGGACGGGUGAGGAAUACAUCGGAAUCUACUUUUUCGUGGGGGAUAACGUAGGGAAACUUACGCUAAUACCGCAUACGACCUACGGGUGAAAGCAGGGGAUCUUCGGACCUUGCGCGAUUGAAUGAGCCGAUGUCGGAUUAGCUAGUUGGCGGGGUAAAGGCCCACCAAGGCGACGAUCCGUAGCUGGUCUGAGAGGAUGUUCGGCCAAACGGGAACUGAGACACGGUCAAGACUCCUACGGGAGGCAGCAGUGGGGAAUAUUGGACAAUGGGCGCAAGCCUGAUCCAGCCAUCCCGCGUGGGUGAGGAAGGCCUUCGGGUUGUAAAGCCCUUUUGUUGGGAAAGAAAAGCAGCAGGUUAAUACCCCGCUGUUCUGACGGUACCCAAAGAAUAAGCACCGGCUAACUUCGCG